UUCUUCAUGCAUAAUUAGACCACGCAUCGCAUUGGCGCUUAGAUAGAUAGGUCUGAUUAGACGCAGCGCAUGCCAAACAGUGCAAUGUAGAGCGGUAGCACAGAGAGCUAGCUCUCGGCUGACGAGCGACGACGGUGAGUAUGUCUGGAAACUGCUGAUGGAGGGGGAUACUACUGGACACGGUAGCUAAUACCGCAUAACGUCGCAAGACCAAAGAGGGGGACUUCGGGCCUCUUGCCAUCAGAUGUGCCCAGAUGGGAUUAGCUAGUAGGUGGGGUAACGGCUCACCUAGGCGACGAUCCCUAGCUGGUCUGAGAGGAUGACCAGCCACACUGGAACUGAGACACGGUCCAGACUCCUACGGGAGGCAGCAGUGGGGAAUAUUGCACAAUGGGCGCAAGCCUGAUGCAGCCAUGCCGCGUGUAUGAAGAAGGCCUUCGGGUUGUAAAGUACUUUCAGCGGGGAGGAAGGCGAUAAGGUUAAUAACCUUGUCGAUUGACGUUACCCGCAGAAGAAGCACCGGCUAACUCCGUGCCAGCAGCCGCGGUAAUACGGAGGGUGCAAGCGUUAAUCGGAAUUACUGGGCGUAAAGCGCACGCAGGCGGUCUGUCAAGUCGGAUGUGAAAUCCCCGGGCUCAACCUGGGAACUGCAUUCGAAACUGGCAGGCUAGAGUCUUGUAGAGGGGGGUAGAAUUCCAGGUGUAGCGGUGAAAUGCGUAGAGAUCUGGAGGAAUACCGGUGGCGAAGGCGGCCCCCUGGACAAAGACUGACGCUCAGGUGCGAAAGCGUGGGGAGCAAACAGGAUUAGAUACCCUGGUAGUCCACGCCGUAAACGAUGUCGACUUGGAGGUUGUGCCCUUGAGGCGUGGCUUCCGGAGCUAACGCGUUAAGUCGACCGCCUGGGGAGUACGGCCGCAAGGUUAAAACUCAAAUGAAUUGACGGGGGCCCGCACAAGCGGUGGAGCAUGUGGUUUAAUUCGAUGCAACGCGAAGAACCUUACCUACUCUUGACAUCCAGAGAACUUUCCAGAGAUGGAUUGGUGCCUUCGGGAACUCUGAGACAGGUGCUGCAUGGCUGUCGUCAGCUCGUGUUGUGAAAUGUUGGGUUAAGUCCCGCAACGAGCGCAACCCUUAUCCUUUGUUGCCAGCGGUUAGGCCGGGAACUCAAAGGAGACUGCCAGUGAUAAACUGGAGGAAGGUGGGGAUGACGUCAAGUCAUCAUGGCCCUUACGAGUAGGGCUACACACGUGCUACAAUGGCGCAUACAAAGAGAAGCGACCUCGCGAGAGCAAGCGGACCUCAUAAAGUGCGUCGUAGUCCGGAUUGGAGUCUGCAACUCGACUCCAUGAAGUCGGAAUCGCUAGUAAUCGUAGAUCAGAAUGCUACGGUGAAUACGUUCCCGGGCCUUGUACACACCGCCCGUCACACCAUGGGAGUGGGUUGCAAAAGAAGUAGGUAGCUUAACCUUCGGGAGGGCGCUUACCACUUUGUGAUUCAUGACUGGGGUGAAGUCGUAACGAGUAACCGUAACGGGUAACACCGCGCGCUUUUGGGCGAAAACCGGGGGUCUGUGCAGGGGAAGAUACU
Molecule: ribosomal RNA, 1587 nt
Filed under: Enterobacter cancerogenus
Lineage: Bacteria; Pseudomonadati; Pseudomonadota; Gammaproteobacteria; Enterobacterales; Enterobacteriaceae
Description: bacterial SSU rRNA
Rfam family: Bacterial small subunit ribosomal RNA
Source: RNAcentral